CCAGCAGCUGCGGUAAUUCCAGCUCCAAUAGCGUAUAUUAAAGUUGUUGCAGUUACAAAGCUCGUAGUUGGAUCUCAGGUCCGGCCCGGUGGUCCACCUCGCGGUGGUUACUGCCUGUUCCGACCUACCUACCGGUUUUCCCUUGGUGCUCUUAACUGAGUGUCUCGGGUGGCCGGAACGUUUACUUUGAAAAAAUUAGAGUGUUCAAAGCAGGCGCUUCGCCUGAAUAAUGUUGCAUGGAAUAAUGGAAUAGGACCUCGGUUCUAUUUUGUUGGUUUUCGGAACUUGAGGUAAUGAUUAAGAGGGACAGACGGGGGCAUUCGUAUGAUGGUGUUAGAGGUGAAAUUCUUGGAUCGCCGUCAGACGAACUACUGAGAAAGCAUUUGCCAAGAAUGUUUUCAUUAAUCAAG
Molecule: ribosomal RNA, 410 nt
Filed under: uncultured eukaryote
Lineage: Eukaryota
Description: SSU rRNA
Rfam family: Eukaryotic small subunit ribosomal RNA
Source: RNAcentral